UCUACGGGCGGCUGCAGUGGGGGAUAUUGCACAAUGGGGGAAACCCUGAUGCAGCGACGCCGCGUGUGGGAAGACGGUCCUCUGGAUUGUAAACCACUGUCCCCAGGGACGAAGAUGACGGUACCUGGGGACGAAGCUCCGGCUAACUACGUGCCAGCAGCCGCGGUAAUACGUAGGGAGCGAGCGUUGUCCGGAAUGACUGGGUGUAAAGGGAGCGUAGGCGGGGAUGCAAGUUGGGGGUCAAAACUACCGGCUCAACUGGUAGUCGCACUCAAAACUGCAGCUCUUGAGUGAAGUAGAGGCAGGCGGAAUUCGUGGUGUAGCGGUGAAAUGCGUAGAUAUUAGGAGGAACACCGGUGGCGAAGGCGGCCUGCUGGACUGCGACUGACGUUGAGGCCCGAAAGCGUGGGGAGCAAACAGGAUUAGAUACCCGGGUAGUC
This 440-nucleotide ribosomal RNA is filed under the name uncultured bacterium. RNAcentral describes it as "partial 16S ribosomal RNA". It matches the Rfam family "Bacterial small subunit ribosomal RNA", at positions 338 to 795 of the family's 1533-position model. The record is from RNAcentral.